Molecule: long non-coding RNA, 416 nt
Organism: Ictalurus furcatus (blue catfish)
Lineage: Eukaryota; Metazoa; Chordata; Actinopteri; Siluriformes; Ictaluridae
Exons: 3
Source: RefSeq, a predicted model, not a curated record
UCUAUAGAAACACAUAAUCUAAGACUACUACGAAACGUGUGGGUUUUUUUUUUUUUUUUUUUAAUGUGGUGUUAUUUGACAAAAACGUCUAAUCGCUGAUAUUGUGAAGCUUUCACUUCUCCGACGCUAGAAAAAUGGCUCCUGGGAAGUACAAGCCUCUGAGUGCAUCAUGGAGGACUAUAUAACUAUGGGGGAGACGCAGCAAAUCACUGAAAUGUCAACUCGAACUGGAGGACACAGUGUAAUGUGAUACAAUAACAAAACAGCUUCAUUUGUAUUCUCAUACACUUGUAAUAUAAUAAAAGUUCUACAUAUACCUCUACAUCCUUUUUUCUUUGAAACCAUUUUUUGAUAGGAAACUAGUUGAGGUGCUGAUGACGUGAAAUCAAAAUUUUAAAUGGCAAUGCCAAGAUGUA